GUGCAAUGAUGUAUUUAUUUGUCAACACAUCAUUCUGAAAAAGGCAUGUGAUGACUUCUUAUGACUGAGCACA
Molecule: small nucleolar RNA, 73 nt
Organism: Peromyscus californicus insignis
Lineage: Eukaryota; Metazoa; Chordata; Mammalia; Rodentia; Cricetidae
Product: small nucleolar RNA SNORD63
Exons: 1
Source: RefSeq, a predicted model, not a curated record